Molecule: ribosomal RNA, 440 nt
Filed under: uncultured bacterium
Lineage: Bacteria
Description: partial 16S ribosomal RNA
Rfam family: Bacterial small subunit ribosomal RNA
Source: RNAcentral
CCUACGGGUGGCAGCAGUGGGGGAUAUUGCACAAUGGGGGGAACCCUGAUGCAGCGACGCCGCGUGUGGGAAGACGGCCCUCUGGAUUGUAAACCACUGUUUCCAGGGACGAAAAUGACGGUACCUGGGGAGGAAGCACCGGCUAACUACGUGCCGGCAGCCGCGGUAAUACGUAGGGAGCGAGGUUUGUCCGGAAUCACUGGGUGAAAGGGGAGCGUAGGCGGGGAUGCAAGUUGGGUGUCAAAACUAGCGGCUAAAGUGGUAGUCGCACUUAAAACUGCAACUCUUGAGUGAAGUAGAGGCAGACGGAAUUCCUAGUGUAGCGGUGAAAUGCGUAGAUAUUAGGAGGAACACCAGUGGCGAAGGCGGCCUGCUGGGCUUUUACUGACGCUGAGGCUCGAAAGUGUGGGGAGCAAACAGGAUUAGAUACCCCGGUAGUC